This 323-nucleotide long non-coding RNA is filed under the name Vitis vinifera (wine grape). RNAcentral describes it as "long non-coding RNA (VVIN_LNC000319)". The record is from RNAcentral. Lineage: Eukaryota; Viridiplantae; Streptophyta; Magnoliopsida; Vitales; Vitaceae.
UUUUGAAGAGUACAGACAAAUCAAAACCCAAACUGCCUUUGGUCCAAUUCUUUGAUCCACCAAUAAUCUCCUCACCAAAGCCAAACCCAGAAAGGUUGUCAUGAUGACCAUAUAGCUGGGAUACAUCACAUCCUCAUCCAACCCAUAAUAGUAUAUGCUAGAGUAACUAAAGAACCGAUUCUCAAUGUAACAUAGCAGCAAUGCAUGGCUGAUCAAACCAACCUCAGUCAAGAAAUGAAGUUUUGAUGGAAGAAGAGCUAAACCAGGAAUGACCAUGGCCAGGACAACAUCCACAAGAAUGAGCUUACAGAAGGAUUUCAAAG